GAUGAACGCUGGCGGCGUGCCUAAUACAUGCAAGUCGAGCGAACAGACGAGGAGCUUGCUCCUCUGACGUUAGCGGCGGACGGGUGAGUAACACGUGGAUAACCUACCUAUAAGACUGGGAUAACUUCGGGAAACCGGAGCUAAUACCGGAUAAUAUAUUGAACGGCAUGGUUCAAUAGUGAAAGACGGUUUUGCUGUCACUUAUAGAUGGAUCCGCGCCGCAUUAGCUAGUUGGUAAGGUAACGGCUUACCAAGGCAACGAUGCGUAGCCGACCUGAGAGGGUGAUCGGCCACACUGGAACUGAGACACGGUCCAGACUCCUACGGGAGGCAGCAGUAGGGAAUCUUCCGCAAAGGGCGAAAGCCUGACGGAGCAACGCCGCGUGAGUGAUGAAGGUCUUCGGAUCGUAAAACUCUGUUAUUAGGGAAGAACAAAUGUGUAAGUAACUAUGCACGUCUUGACGGUACCUAAUCAGAAAGCCACGGCUAACUACGUG
Molecule: ribosomal RNA, 497 nt
Filed under: uncultured bacterium
Lineage: Bacteria
Description: partial 16S ribosomal RNA
Rfam family: Bacterial small subunit ribosomal RNA
Source: RNAcentral